AUUUUUUUUUAAAUUUUAAAAUCUUUAAUUCUUACAUGCGUUCCUGUCUUUUCUUUCUUAUUGAAAGCUCAUCUUUCUUUUCUUAUAAAAAAAUUUUAGAAUAACUUAUUUCAAAAAAUUUAAGUUGCAAACUUUGACUCUUCACUCUUGUUUAGUUAGAUAGUCCUGACAAGCCCCCAGGUGGUCUCACUCACCACCUCUGAUGGGGCUGUUGGUCUGGCCCAUUGGUUCUCCUCCAUAUACCUCUUCAGCAAACUAGCUUGGAUUUCCUCACAGGCACCUGGGUUCCAAAGGAAUGAUAGUGGAAGCUGCAAGAUCUCUUGAAUUCUAGCUUGGAGUCCGACGACAUGACUGCACCACACUGGUCAAAGCAAGUCACACGCUGGCCCAGAGUAGAAGAGUGAGGAAAUAACUAUAACUUUCGAUGGGAGAAGCUGCAAAAAAUCUUUAAAAAUCUGCUGCCAUUUUAAAUUCACAACAGUAUCUAAACACAUCAGUGUGUUUCUCUUAAGAACAAGAAAACUCUCCUGGAUUACACAUGGAUUACAUAACACUGUGAAAUGCUGAAGCGGGGCCUUCCCGCCCCGCUGCCUGGCCUCCUAGCAGGAAAGCUGCAUCUGAACAUCUUAGGGUUGGGAGACAGCAGACGGUCUCUGGCAGGGGAGGCCUGAUUGUGAGAAGACAGAGGCAGAGAGAUGACGACAAAGAUGCUGGAUCAAGCUGCACCUGAAACCAUACACCAAAAGGUCACAUGAAACUCCCUUCCCACUAGCACCAGCUCCUCGUUUUUCUUAAAGAAGUAAUUUCCAACUGAAAGCAUCUUAGCCUCUCUAAGUACCAUUAUGGAUUAAGAAGGAUUAGGACUUUCUCCUCCAUCCAUUCACAGGCUUUGAUGUGUGGACCCUGGGACUGGCACUGCUGGCCCUAGGAUAAAUUACAUCCUCAGUUGGGGCCUCAGUCAGAUGAGGGGGCAGACUUAAGACAAAUUCACACUGCCCUGUGCUGAGUUUUCUGGCAAGUUUGAUUAGGGAAGAACUGACUCAGAGAGGGCUUCCCAGAGGAGGUGACAUGUGCCUUGAACUUGAGGGGAGGAUAGCAUUUCGUCCAAGAGAAGAGAGCAUGUGGGCACA
This 1130-nucleotide long non-coding RNA is filed under the name Capra hircus (goat). RNAcentral describes it as "lncRNA (ENSCHIG00010010525.1)". The record is from RNAcentral. Lineage: Eukaryota; Metazoa; Chordata; Mammalia; Artiodactyla; Bovidae.